UGGGAUAACAGUUCGAAAGGACUGCUAAUACCGGAUACACUCCUUGCUCGCAAGGUCAAGGAGGAAAGGUGGCGCUCCCUUCGGGGAGCUGCCGUGUGGAGAUGAGUCUGCGUCCCAUUAGCUAGUUGGCAGGGUAAAGGCCUACCAAGGCAACGAUGGGUAGCGGGUCUGAGAGGAUGAUCCGCCACACUGGAACUGAAACACGGACCAGACUCCUACGGGAGGCAGCAGUGAGGAAUAUUGGACAAUGGGCGCAAGCCUGAUCCAGCGACGCCGCGUGAGUGAUGAAGGCCUUCGGGUCGUAAAGCUCUGUCGGAGGGGAAGAACGGCCAUGAGGUUAAUACCCUUAUGGAUUGACGGUACCCUCAGAGGAAGCACCGGCUAACUCCGUGCCAGCAGCCGCGGUAAUACGGAGGGUGCAAGCGUUAAUCGGAAUUACUGGGCGUAAAGGGCGCGUANGCGGCCNAUCAANUCANAUGUGAAAGCCCNCNGCUUAACCGUGCGAAGUGCAUCUGAAACUGGUUGGCUUG
This 530-nucleotide ribosomal RNA is filed under the name proteobacterium enrichment culture clone MLSB10m11D. Its description in RNAcentral is "bacterial SSU rRNA". It matches the Rfam family "Bacterial small subunit ribosomal RNA", at positions 139 to 644 of the family's 1533-position model. The record is from RNAcentral. Lineage: Bacteria; Pseudomonadati; Pseudomonadota.